ACAGGUCAGGAUGAGAUCAAAGGAUAAUGUGGCAUCAUGGACCUCAGUCCACCACUAGAAACUAAUAAUCAAGGGAACAUCAGUGCCUGCGAGUCAAGGCGUAGCUAUUUUCACAUCUGGGUAAGAGGCCAAGAACAGGAGAAUAGAACCAUGGCACAGACUAUGAAAUUCUUGAUGACAGAGACUCAGUAUUAUUCAUCUUUCUGGCCUCAAGACUAAUAUACUGACCCUGAAAGAAAUAGGUACUCAAUUAAUAUUUGGUGGUCUGUGCCCUCCUGUUGGCCCAGUUUCUUCCCAGCGUUGUUCCUGAUUGAGACUGUAUGCUGGGUUUUGGAAAGCCCUGCUUUUUGUUAAUUGUUCAAACAAACCCUCUCUAAUAGCAGCACGUGUAAAAGAAGACUUUAGAAUUUAAUUUAUUCCAGUGUAAUGAGGCUGCCAAAAAGAGAUCAAGCUUAAUGGGUUCCAGCAUGAGUGUGCAGUUUCAGAAAUGAAGUUCCACUUCAAUUCACAAGUUAUUAUCUACUUUCAUUAAUGGAAUUGGAAAAGAGAGAGUGGAAAAGAGAUAAAGAAUGAGGAAGAAGAGAGAGAUGAGAGAGUGGGAGGAAGAAAAAAAUAAAGAAAAUAAAAGACCAGGAUGAAAGAAAAAAAAGUCGACCAAAUGGAAAAGAAAAAGUCAGACUAAGUGUAAAUAGGAAGCAGAAAGGAUCUUUCCCCUACUGUGCUGGUCUUGGGAGCUACACUGAAGGUAGUGCAACCACACGGAAGAAGGAGGCAGAAUCAGCAGUUUGAGAGCAGCAGUAAGAACACUGUUUAGACUUGAGGCAAGAAAUGGAACAUCGAUUAACUGAGUUAACUCAGGGGAGACCAUUCACAAAGUGAAGUGGACAUCCUGAAGAUGAGGAACACUUGAUAAAGAAAAAAAAUCAGCAUCCUUAGUCUGGCGAAGAGGAAAUUUAAA
RNAcentral lists this long non-coding RNA (958 nucleotides) under Equus caballus (horse). RNAcentral's name for it is "lncRNA (ENSECAG00000058161.1)". Lineage: Eukaryota; Metazoa; Chordata; Mammalia; Perissodactyla; Equidae. The record is from RNAcentral.